This 385-nucleotide long non-coding RNA is filed under the name Salvia miltiorrhiza (redroot sage). RNAcentral describes it as "long non-coding RNA (SMIL_LNC001599)". The record is from RNAcentral. Lineage: Eukaryota; Viridiplantae; Streptophyta; Magnoliopsida; Lamiales; Lamiaceae.
GACACCCUCGGUUCUCCCUCUCUUUCGGACCUCCGGUGAUUUCAGCAGCGAUCAGCCGCUGCCCCACCUUCUAUUUGUGCAGAAUCCGACGGCCGCCGCAGCUGAAGCUAGCCACCGUCGAUCCGCCCCUCUCCCUUGAAUCUCCGGCCACCGCCCGUAGAUCAGGCGACGCCACUUCUGACUCUCUCGACUCCGGCAGUAGCAGCUUUCGUAGCCACCACCACCGCCGUCGUCCUCCGCCGAACAGCCCCGCUGUCCAGCCGCUCACCACCAUCUCAGCCCCGACCAUCUCUCUCAAACCUUUUUCCCUCGCUCGUUCUUCUCUGUUAACGGAAACAGGACAGCAGACGCCCCGCCGUGGUGCGCCGCCGCCUUUGUCGCCGGA